RNAcentral lists this ribosomal RNA (497 nucleotides) under uncultured bacterium. RNAcentral describes it as "partial 16S ribosomal RNA". It matches the Rfam family "Bacterial small subunit ribosomal RNA", at positions 28 to 507 of the family's 1533-position model. The record is from RNAcentral.
GACGAACGCUGGCGGCGUGCCUAAUACAUGCAAGUUGAGCGCUGAAGGUUGGUACUUGUACCAACUGGAUGAGCAGCGAACGGGUGAGUAACGCGUGGGGAAUCUGCCUUUGAGCGGGGGACAACAUUUGGAAACGAAUGCUAAUACCGCAUAAAAACUUUAAACACAAGUUUUAAGUUUGAAAGAUGCAAUUGCAUCACUCAAAGAUGAUCCCGCGUUGUAUUAGCUAGUUGGUGAGGUAGAGGCUCACCAAGGCGAUGAUACAUAGCCGACCUGAGAGGGUGAUCGGCCACAUUGGGACUGAGACACGGCCCAAACUCCUACGGGAGGCAGCAGUAGGGAAUCUUCGGCAAUGGACGAAAGUCUGACCGAGCAACGCCGCGUGAGUGAAGAAGGUUUUCGGAUCGUAAAACUCGGUUGGUAGAGAAGAACGUUGGUGAGAGUGGAAAGCUCAUCAAGUGACGGUAACUACCCAGAAAGGGACGGCUAACUACGUG